This 552-nucleotide ribosomal RNA is filed under the name uncultured bacterium. Its description in RNAcentral is "bacterial SSU rRNA". It matches the Rfam family "Bacterial small subunit ribosomal RNA", at positions 197 to 769 of the family's 1533-position model. The record is from RNAcentral.
GUGUGAAAAACUCCGGUGGUAUAAGAUGGACCCGCGUUGGAUUAGCUAGUUGGUGAGGUAACGGCCCACCAAGGCGACGAUCCAUAGCCGACCUGAGAGGGUGACCGGCCACAUUGGGACUGAGACACGGCCCAAACUCCUACGGGAGGCAGUAGUGGGGAAUAUUGCACAAUGGGCGAAAGCCUGAUGCAGCGACGCCGCGUGAGCGAAGAAGUAUUUCGGUAUGUAAAGCUCUAUCAGCAGGGAAGAUAAUGACGGUACCUGACUAAGAAGCACCGGCUAAAUACGUGCCAGCAGCCGCGGUAAUACGUAUGGUGCAAGCGUUAUCCGGAUUUACUGGGUGUAAAGGGAGCGCAGGCGGUGCGGCAAGUCUGAUGUGAAAGCCCGGGGCUCAACCCCGGUACUGCAUUGGAAACUGUCGUACUAGAGUGUCGGAGGGGUAAGCGGAAUUCCUAGUGUAGCGGUGAAAUGCGUAGAUAUUAGGAGGAACACCAGUGGCGAAGGCGGCUUACUGGACGAUAACUGACGCUGAGGCUCGAAAGCGUGGGGAGC